RNAcentral lists this ribosomal RNA (252 nucleotides) under uncultured bacterium. RNAcentral's name for it is "partial 16S ribosomal RNA". It matches the Rfam family "Bacterial small subunit ribosomal RNA", at positions 524 to 776 of the family's 1533-position model. The record is from RNAcentral.
UACGGAGGAUGCGAGCGUUAUCCGGAUUUAUUGGGUUUAAAGGGUGCGUAGGCGGACUGUCAAGUCAGCGGUAUAAUUGAGAGGCUCAACCUCUUCCCGCCGUUGAAACUGGUGGUCUUGAGUGGAUGAGAAGUACGCGGAAUGCGUGGUGUAGCGGUGAAAUGCAUAGAUAUCACGCAGAACUCCGAUUGCGAAGGCAGCGUACCGGCAUCCAACUGACGCUGAGGCACGAAAGCGUGGGGAUCAAACAGG